UAAAGCAGUAAAGCAACAACUACAGCCAGAUGCUUCAUGGAAGAUAUGCUGUGUGCGUGUUCUUGGAAAUGCAGACUGCUAUGGAGAAGCACGACGAAAGCUUGCAAGGGCAGAAGCAACAUCAGAUCUUCAAACAGAUAAUGAUAUCCCAGAAAAGCGACGUAGAAGAUCCUCCCACAAAUGGGGCACAUUUUCUUCAAGUGAAGACAGUGUGGACUCCUCAGA
This is a long non-coding RNA of Xiphophorus maculatus (southern platyfish), 225 nucleotides long. RefSeq lists it as uncharacterized. NCBI's taxonomy places the organism in Eukaryota, Metazoa, Chordata, Actinopteri, Cyprinodontiformes, Poeciliidae. The transcript is spliced from 3 exons. The record is from RefSeq and is a predicted model, not a curated record.